This 127-nucleotide non-coding RNA is filed under the name Ditylum brightwellii. Lineage: Eukaryota; Bacillariophyta; Thalassiosirophyceae; Lithodesmiales; Lithodesmiaceae. The record is from RNAcentral.
ACAUAAAUGAACACCAACAAUUAAUUCUAGACAAGAAAAGAAGACAAAAGAAAAAAAGAGAGGGUUAUAUGGUAUUAGGGACCUUUGGUGGUGCAGUUGUUGGUGCUAUUGUUUUGUUUCCUGUUUU